UAAACAAAUCUAAGAAAAUAAAUUUUGUCGAGGUUCGAAACUUAUUUGACGAAAUACGGUCCUAGCUAUAAUAUCCCGUAUUGUUGGAAUGGAAAAAUUUAAUCGUCCAAUAUGAGCAAAAUUACUCGAGCCCGGAGAAUUCGAUGAUAUUUAAGGAUGAAAAUCGAGAGCUCGGUGUACAAAGAGUUUGAGGUCCCAAAAUAAUUUAGGACUUAACAAGUGUGACCACGGUGACUGAAAAUAAUAUUUUAUGUGUAUCAAAAGGGACUAUGGACUAGUGCUAUGUCACAUAAUCAUGGCAAUGAUUAUAUGAAGUGUAUUAAAAAAAAUUGUGAUUAAAGUGAAUUGAGAUCAAGAAAUCAAUUAUGUGUGUAACCGAUCAAAUGGGGAGAUGUCAAUCACAUUUUAGAAUUUUUAAUUACAAAUUUUGUAGCAUUCGUGUAUGAUUUAAUAUUACACAAGUAUUGAUUAAUAAAUCCAAGAAUGAGGAAUAUUGGUGAAAGUGGUCAUUGGCUCAAAGUAUAUAAACGGUGGCAUAAAGGAAAAGGGACAAGGUUAAUGUUUUAAUCAUUUAAAAAGGCCAAACUUUGUACACUUGGAAGUAAUUUAGCUGUGCACUCUUCAAGUGGUGCCAGCAAUUAAGUGGUUGCCCAAAGGCACAUAUAUACAUAGAGAUAAACAUGGGCUAUACAUAGAGGAAAAUAGACCAUUUCAGUGAACACAAAGAUGUAUCCAAGCCUCAUUUUGUCCUUCUUAGAAGGAGAACGGCCCUCUGUUUUGGCCAUUUUCUAUGAAAUAACGCAGCAGCUACUCUUAUUAUUUCCAAGCUCGUGGUGACGUGAAAAAUAGGAGGGCUAUCCGUGGGAACAACCUCAAGGAAUGACAACAACCAGAAGAAAUCUUCAAGAGUUAGUUUCAAAGUUUAAUCUUAGUGUUGGAACCCCAAGAAAUUAAUGUUCGUUGGGUCAUCUGGGACUCGUGGCACUCUCGUUAGCCCAUGAAGGAAUUGAGGUACAGACGUUCGUUCAGGUGACCCGCCAGUGUAGGAUACUUAUUCUGCUAUUUGGAGUACUCCUUUUGAUCCGGAGCUCAUAUUUUUGGUACAUAUCUUCUGUUAUACAUGUUCUGUAUAUAUGGCUAUUUGGGUACGGCGGGGCCCUGUUCCGUCAUAUGUUUCUGUUAUGGUUUGUAAAGGCCUGUAGUCAUAUAUGUGGGUCAUGGGUCACGUUUGUUCGAUUAUGUUUGUGAUUUGUGCCUUAAGCGGCCCCAUUUGCUAUUAUGGCCAAAACGGCCCUUAUGUUUGUAAAUGUAUGUGUAUUCGGGCGAUGUAUAUUCCGCCAGCCUACCGGUUUUUGAUAUGAUAUUUCGGUACGGGUGACCGCUUAAGAUGAUAUCUGUUUUCAGUAUCUGUUCAAAAGACGUAUGCUAAAUUUGAAUAAAUUUUUGAUAUGUUGAUUUGGUAAGCGAAUGGGUUUGGGUGUCCAAUUAGGGCACCAGUCGCGGCCCACGGGGCUGGGUCGUGACAAAAGCUCUCGUGGUGGCAGCACAUCUGGAAG
Lycium barbarum (goji berry) is the source of this 1556-nucleotide long non-coding RNA. RefSeq lists it as uncharacterized. The record is from RefSeq and is a predicted model, not a curated record. The transcript has 3 exons. Lineage: Eukaryota; Viridiplantae; Streptophyta; Magnoliopsida; Solanales; Solanaceae.